AUGUCCACUUGUCUCAGAAUUCGUGUCCUGGCUGGGACCACCUGUCUUCUCCAUGAAGCCUGCCCUGAUUCUCCCCGGGGGAAGGCUGGCCCCCUUUUCCAAACUCCCACUACAUUUUGUCCAAACGGUGUUGGAAGCCACUGGGACUCCCCAAGAGCAAGAUCCAAGUUGAAGGCAACUUUACCAUCCCCGCCAGUGCCUGACGUGGAGGGAGUGCCGCACACACCCGCCCUGAAUGCAGAACCAGCAGAGUUCUCCCCAAGGAUUUCACCAAGCACCAGUGUUCCUCGUUUUGCUUGUUUUUGAUGCCUAAAGAGACAACAAGUGACUAACAGACUGUUGUCCAUGAAUUGUCUAGAGUCAGCCUUCUCCUUCUAAUAGCUCCCGAAGGGCUCCUCAUGCUGGUGCAACCCCACUGCCGCUGCUCCCGAGCCUGUGUUCCCUUCUCUCCACCGUGCACCUUCUGACAUCAUGACUCACUGGAGAACCAGGCCAGGAUCCCAACCAUGCCAUGUCUCAGUGGGCCUGGGUGAGAGCCCUGUGCUGCCAGGAGGAGAAGAGAUAACAUUGAUUGUCCAGGAGCUCUACGAUGGAGACGGGUUGUCACUGGAAGUCCAACAAGAGACAGAGGCAAGUGAGCUUUAUUGAGCACCUACUGUGUGCCAGGCCCCAUGCAACGGGCUUCUGUGGAGGCCUGCCCCUGCCAUCUUCACAACCCUCAGGUGAGCCAGCUUUAGCUUUACAUUUUAUAGAUGAAAAAAAAACAGAGUUGAUGAGACUAAGAGACUAUUUCUGAGACCAAAAGAAAGAGGAAAAUCUCGUUUAAUCUCCAGGGUUUGUUAAAUUAGGCAAAGACAAGAAGGAACUUUUUUGUGAGGACAGACUGAAGUGCUGGCAUUUUGUAGCCCAGAAAGUCCAAGAAAGGAUAUGCUCAAGGACUGUCACAUGAAGCAAGAGCUCCUGCUUGACCGUGAGCUGGGCCGUCAGAUCCCACAUCCUCAUGGGGACUCGAUGCAGCCUGGAUAGCAGGGUGGUGAGACUCUCCGCCUCCAGGGUGCAGGGUCUGCCCUCCUCUUGUGAGCUCUGUGUCCGUCACCAAGUCAUUGAACCUCCAUCUGCUUCCUCACCUGUUUAAGAAAGGAUGAUAGUAAUAGGACUCACAUCAUAGGGUUUUGUUAAGGACUAAAAGAAAAACAUGUAAAGCGUCUUGCCGAGUGCCUGGUACUACAGUAAGGAUUCGAUAAAUAUUAGCUGUUACAAUAAUUAGGAGUCAUAUUUUACACCCUACAAGAGGCAUCUGCAGAUAAAAGAAAUCUCACAUUACAGGGUGGGAAGUAAACUCGCUAAACAUAGCCCCAAAGGUGGCACAAACUGAAAAUAUAAAUAUAAUAAAAAAAGGUUAGAUCACGAGUG
This 1413-nucleotide long non-coding RNA is filed under the name Macaca mulatta (Rhesus monkey). Its description in RNAcentral is "lncRNA (ENSMMUG00000050931.1)". Lineage: Eukaryota; Metazoa; Chordata; Mammalia; Primates; Cercopithecidae. The record is from RNAcentral.